UGGUGGACAAAACCACAAAAGAAAAGAAGAAAGAAAAGAAGAAAAGCUGCUGUGUUUCUUGCAGAAUUUCCGAAGGUGGAGAGAGAUGAUUUUUUUGCUGGUUUGGGGCUGCCUCCUUUUAUAGGUGAAGAAUCAUAAUCCACUUAGGAUUUGGAAUCCUAGUAUGGAUUGGUCUUUUUGUAGUCUUUAAUCUCCUCUUUGCUUUUAUAUUUACUUGUGAAUAAAUCUUCUUCUUAAGGGAGUCUAUCUUUGGGAGUGACUCUUGGAGAUGUCCUAGGAUUGAUCUUGAAGUGUUUGAAGUAGGAUAUGACUUCAAUGCUUUUGGAUUUUGAAUUCUUCCUUUUUCCCGCUCUACUGUCCGCCUCUGCUGUCAUUUUGAUUUGGGCAGUGAUUUGCCCAAAUUGCUUGCCCCAAUCGCUUCCUGUGAGUCUGUCCUAGCCUUUUGCUUCAGCUUGAUUUGGGCAGUGAUUUGGCCAAAUCACUUUGACCCAAUCACUUUUUCAGCUUUUUCUGCACUUUUUCUCCAACUUUCUAUUUUCUUCCUUUUCUGCAAAAACAUGAUAAAAACCAUAAAUUAAGCUGAAAAAUGUGUAAUUAAACAGUAAUAAAGGUAAUAAAAAUAUGGCUAAAUUAUGUUUGAUCAAAUACCCCCACACCUAGCUUUUUGCUUGUCCUCAAGCAAUAAAUAACUUAGUCAAUCAAGCUCCUUUUUCUUUUGAGCCUAAGUACCACUUAAUCAGCCCCCCUUAGACUCCUAAGUUGAAACACCACAGUGUAGUAUACAUGUACUAAGGUUGUCCUCUCUUUCCUUUUUUCCCAUCACCUACCAUGGCCAAGGGAAAGUUUUUUGACUUGAUCAUGCUUAUUCUUUUAUAUUAGGCUUAAUGCAACCCCUAAGAGUGACUUGCCACCUUUUAAGCAUUUUUAUUCAGCAGCACUUUUUUAUCCUUGCCUGAAAAAGUCACCAACCUUUUUACGCGAAGGUGCAUAUUGGUGAUACCCACCUCCGGUUACUCAGUUGGUCACUUGUUCAAGUGGCUACUAGCUCUGUUCAUAGUCUUUGACCAUCGAAACAUGUUAUGUUUUGUGCUUUUUGAUUUUGCCGAGUUAUUAUAUUUUUUUUUCUUUUCUUUUUCUUUUUUUCAUAACAGUUUGGGCAAAUCAGCUCAUAGAGAGUUACACUAACUUUUUAUUGCAUGUAUAUAUAUUUUUCCCUUGACCAUAGCAAGUGCAAAGAUCCAAUUUAAGAGAAAAACUCCAUAAGUGAAGGUAACACACUGUAAAUGAUUCAAUUUAGGCUUAAAGGGUUGGAAAAUUUAAUAGGGUCAUGAGAUAGGAGGCUCUUUUAACUUUGUCAUCUAUUCUGAGUAGAGCAAAGGCUAAAACAAAAUCUCUGUGUGUGUGCAUAUAUGCAGAAGUGAAUAUGAGUGCAAAAAGAAAUGUGUGUGAGAGAGAAAAAAAAUUUUAGUGUGUGUAAAAGGGUAGAAAAUGCAAAAAGAAGAAAAAAGAAAGCAAAAGAUGGUGCAAACAGUGUAAAAAUAUUCCCCAGUACCCCCACACCUAGUCUAAACAUUGUCCUCAAUGUAAAACAUAUAGAGAAAAAUUAAGAGAGAAAGGGACUUCCUGGCCUGGGGGUGAUUUGGUGAGUGAUUUGGGCAAAUCACUCGGCCAAAUCACUGGCUGUCAUGGUCUGUGGGCAGAAAGUUGUCCACCAGCAGUUGCAGUAGGUGCUCCAUGUGUAUGAUUCGGGCCUCCAUUUUGUCAAGGCGAGAUUCUGCAGAUUGAUCAACUGUUAGAGGUUCUGCUGAUUUGGACAGUGAUUUGGGCAAAUCACUUGGCCAAAUUACCUCUGCUGUAGUUAAGUUCUGCUGAUUUUUCCAUCAAUUUGCACAAAUCGCCUAUGCUGGGUUGUCUCCCAGUAGCGCCCUAGUUUAAAGUCGCGGGUUGGACUUUUCUGACUUGAUCAAGGCUCAAGUAAUAGGGGGAGGGAAAAGGAUUCCAACAGAAUUAAGUAAGAAGUGCAGCACACCUUUCAUUUUGGUUAUAACCCAUCCCAUUUCUUUCAUGUACUCAUGAAGUAACAUGAUUAAUUUCUCCUCUUUCAAGUGAGGUGUGCCUCUAGCCCCUAUGUUUGAAAUUUUGAGGUGAUUGGGCAGCACUUUGAACUCCAAUUCAUAUUUCUCCACAAAAGGUGGCUGCAAUCUGGUACUGAACUUGGGCAAAUCGAAUUCUGCUUGCACUGAUGAUUUGGGCAAAUCAAAAUCUGUCUGCAUUGUUGAUUUGAUUUCUGCCUGUUCAAGUGAUUUGGGCAAAUCAGAUUCUAUCUGUACAAGUGAUUUGAGCAAAUCACCUCUGGACCAGUUUGUGCAGCAUGCUGUCUCUUCCGUUUCUUUCAAAUUUUUCCUGUUCUCCUCAUCUUCCUGGCUGGUGUCCCUUGGUAUUUGUUUGACAGCAUCAAGCAAAGGUAUGUUGAUCUCCACUUUGCGAAAGGUUGCAAGUAUUUCUUUCUCUUCUUUUUCUUUUUGUGAUCUUGCAAAUCUCUUGGGAAAGGGAGGAGGUACCUUAAAUUUUUCUUCUAGUUGCUGAUCUGCCUUGGUCUGUUUGGAGCUGAAUUCUGCCUGGGUCAUUGAUUUGGGCAAAUCAUUUUCUGUCUUCUCUGAGGAUUUGGGCAAAUCGCCACUGUUGGGCAGUACUGUCUGUCCAUCGAUUGGGUCUGUGAUUUGGGCAGAUCGACUGCCCUGAUCACUUUCUAGCAAAUUCUCUUCAGUGACCUGUUUUUGCAUUUUCUCAAGCCUACUGUCUUGAAGCACUUUUCCACUCCUCCAUGUGAUGGCACUAGUAUUCUGCCUUGGAUUUAUCUCAAUUUGGGAGGGUAGCUUUCCUUGUGAUUUAAGUUUACUCAUUGAAGUGGCCAUUUGACUCAUUUGUUGCUCAAGAUUUUGCAUCGAGUUUGCUAAGGAUUUCACGAUCUCUUUAAGGGGUGUAUUGGACUUUUGAGGUGCUGCUUGGGCUGGAUUCCUUUCCUGAUAGCUCGGAUAUUGAUUGGCCCUUGCAUAACUGAAAUCCAAAUUUGGAUGGUCCCUCCAACCUGGGUUAUAGGUGUUAGAAUAGGGAUCAUACUGUAACGACCCGAAAAUCGGAUUGCUACCGGCGCUAGGAUCCAGAUCGGCUUAAGGCCGCCGGGACCCGUAGCAAGCCUGACAUACAUCCUGUAAACCUGUUUAAUCCCAUACAUGAUCAACACAUACAUAAAAAUUUGAACUUUUCUCAUUCAUUUACCAAACUCAACCUGUGCAUGCACAACUAAAGAUCAUAAUCAACAACCCCACAUUGGAGUCCUCAUCAAUGCUCCAAUGGGGUAACAUAACAUUAUAAAGUUUGGUUUAAACUUGAACAUCAUAAAACAUUUCAUUAAAAGAUCAUGUAAUCAAAAAGGGAUUAACAACAUACUAGGGUCAAGCACAACUCUAAUACUCAAUAACAUCAUUACAUUACAUAACUGAUUAAUACUAUUCAUUACAUCUCAAUACUUAUCAUGUCCACCACUAGCUAUUACAUGACCAUGACUUUACUCUAGCUGACCUCUUGGUCUAUCCCGUACCUGCAAACCUGGGGGAUUAAGGGAGUGGGGUGAGCUACUAGAGCCCAGUGAGCAGAAUAAUAAAACAUUAUAUUUAAAGUCAUGCUUUCAUGAAAUGCAUCACAUCACAAACAAAUCACCUUAAGGAUGAACUUGUCACCAAUAGCCCUCUACAUAAUCCAAUAGUGCCAGAACGUAGAAUGGGUCCUGGUCUUUCUCUCACAUACCAUGUCAUAACAUUCCAACAUGCCAGGGACGUAGAAUGGGUCUUCCUGGACUUUCUCUUACAUAGUGCCAGGGAUGUAGAAUGGGUCUUCUUGAACUUUCAUACCGUAUCAUCAUCAUAUCAUUUUAUACGAGGGCUAAGGGAUCAUUCAACAUUCAUCCACAUCAACAAAAUAAUGUGCAAUGCAACAUAUUCGUGAAUUCUAAUGCAAACAACCUAAUAUAUCUCAUGGCAUUCAUGAUGCGUGAAUCAUGCUAAAACUGAUUUAUUUACUUUAAAGCAUAAAGAGUUAUUCCACUCACCUCAGGCUAGCUCAGACAAGACUCUGAAGCAGCUAUCUCAAUGCUGGGGUCCUCGGUUCCUCGGGUCCGAACCUACACAGGUGGACUCAAAUGAGGGACGAAACAAACAUGAACAUGACUCUAAAAUACUCCCCAAAAACCCCCUAAAACACCUUAAAACAAUCAUAGAAAUCAUGCAAAGGAGGGCUGAACAGGGCACUUUCGGCGGCAGGUUCGGCGGCCGAAAGUCCCUCCAGAGCCGAAAGUCAUGCACCUUCGGCGGCACUUUCGGCGGCCGAAGGUUCCCUCCAGAGACGAAACUCAUGCAUGUUCGGCGGUACCUUCGGUGGCCGAAACUCCCUUCCAGAGCCGAAAGUCCACUUUCGGGGGCAGGGUUCGGCAGCCAAAGGCUGGCCUCCACAGGCAGGUUCGGCGGCCGAAAGUCCCUUCGGCUGUCGAACCUGAGUUCUUCCAAAGGGCAGAACUCAGCCUCCAACAUGCACAAAAGCCUCCCAAUCCACUUCAACUCAAACACAACACUUCUACAACAUGCAUACACACAUACAUAAGCUCCUAGGGGCUUCAAACUAUCCUAAACCCUAACUAGAACACAUCAAACAUGCACAACAACCCACAUUGCUCCAAAAACUCAACAUAAACCCAUAAACUCACUAAAAACCUAAACAUGCAUUUCUACCCCAAAAAACUUCAUAAAACUUGUUAAAAACAUAAAAUGGGCUAAGGAUCUACUCUUACCUCUUGAAGAACAAGAGGAAGGACGAUCCAACUCGGAGAUGGGAGCGAUCUAGCUCUUUGAACCUCCAAAAUCCAAAACUUGCUCUAAGCUUCAAAUCUCUUCAAAACCAAGUUAGAACUCAUUAAAACUUGAAAGAUUUGAGAGAAAUCAACAAAAACGACCAUGGGGGAGCAUGGACUCACCGUUGGCCGAAGAGGGAGAGAAAACUCGUCCGUUUCGGCCAUGGAGCCCUUAAAUAGGAGCUGGCCAGACCACCCUUCGGCAGCCUAAAGUGCCUCCAAAACUCAUGCAAGUUCGGCGGCCGAACCUUUGCUACUUUCGGAAGCCUAACUUGCCCCCCUAAACUAUCCAAUGUUCGACGGCCGAACCUGGGAAUGCCUCCAUAGUCUUUUUCAUUCAAAACUCAAUUUCUUUCUUGCUUAAAACCAUAAAAUACAUUAAAACAUUUUAUAAAAACAUGAUUUUACCCCUCUAGAGGUUUUUGACAUUCGAGAUUCUACCGGACGGUAGGAAUUUCGAUACUGGAGUCUAGCCGGGUAUUACACAUACCUUCUUUGCCCAUUAAAUCCUCCAACUGCAUUGACUUGCUGGUCCUCUUCUUGAAAGGAAGGACAUAGGUCAGUAGGGUGGCUCAAGUUUGUGCAUAUUCCAUAUGGUUUGGGCUGCUGAACCUGCUGGACUUGUUGGGCUUGAUCCACAACAAGGCUACGAACAGCAUUGGUGAGAUCAGAAAUUUGGGAUGCUAAAGUGGAUGUACUCACCUCAUUCACCCUUCUUGGUGGCUGUUCUUGAUCUCCAAAUUGCUGUGAGGCUGCUGCCAUGGUGGAAAUUAAAUCUCUUAUGGCUUGAGGUGACUUGUCUUCAAUUGAUCCUCUACAUGCUGCGUCUAUGAACUUUCUUUCCGAAGGUAGCAAACCUCCAUAGAAGUAUUCAAUGAGUGACUUAUCAGAGAUGUCAUGUUGAGGGCAGCUUGUGCACAAUCGAUUGAAUCUUUCCCAAUAUUCAUAUAGCUCUUCAUAAUCCUUUUGCUUGAUGCAACUGAUCUCUCUUCUGAUACCAAUAGCUUUUGAGGUUGGAAAGUAUUUGCUCAAGAAGACUCUCACCAUCCCAUCCCAUGAAGUGAUGGAUCCAGGUGGUAAAUAGAACAACCAUUCUUUGGCAAAAUCAUCAAGAGAAAAGGGAAAAGCUCUUAAUUUAACAUGCUCUUCGGAAAUACCUUGAGGCCUCAUUGUUGAACACACAAUGUGAAAUUCUUUAAGGUGCUUGUAUGGAUCUUCAUUUUUCAGACCUCUGAAUUUUGCAAGGAGAUGAAUUAAUCUGGUUUUGAGCUCAAAAGGGGCUGCCAAAGGUGAGUAAGUGAUGCACCAUAGUGCUUGAUCAUCCAAGGGUGUUGCUAGUUCGCAAAGAGUUUUAUCUUGUGCCAUUGGAGCUCUUGCCUCAACAUUUUUAGCUUCAAAUUCAGCAAGGACAGCAGCUGGUUCAAGAGUAGUAGCUGCUGCAUUUUCUGCCUCUUCAGGUGCUGUUGUGGCUGUCUUUAUAGCAGCUCGUUCAGCUACUAUUUUAAGGGCUAGUUCUGGGAUUUUUUUAGCAAAAAUUUCUGGUUUUUGGGCUGGUUCUGGUGUAGUUUUAAGGGCUGGUUUUGAGUGCAGCAGCUUGUGCAGCAACAGAUUCAACAAGUGCAGCAUGUACAAUAAUUUCAGCAACUGGUUCAACAACUUAUUCAGCAGGUACAAUAGCGAUUUGUGUAGCAGAUACAACAAUGAUUUGUGCAGCAAAUAUAGCAGCAGGUGUAGUAGAUUGUAUGGCAGAUACCAGAUUUGUUGCUGUUGCUGAUGAAGAUGGUUUGGAGGCUUGGUUCCUCAAGUUUGCUUGCUUCUUUAAGGUCUUGGCAGUGCGUUCAAUUUCUGGAUCGUAAAGAAGAGCUUCUUUACGAUCAGCCCUGGUCAUAAAAGGAAAAUACGUUAGUUAGAUCAAAUCCCUGGCAACGGCGCCAAUUUUUGAUAGCGAUUGUCGAAACCGUAAAAAAUAAACCUAUUAUUAACCAACAAAAUAAUUUGCAGAUAGUGGCAAUAGGGUCAAACCACAGGGAUUUGACACUACAGAUUUUCCUAAUAAUGACUUGGACAAGUAAAUAACAAAUAAAUAAGAAGAGGGGGGGGGUUGAUUUGAUGAAUUGAAACUAAAUAGCAAGAGAAAGCAAAAAAGAUGAGAAUUAUAAUGGGAGAAGGAUUCUAGUUGAAGCAUGGAUCUAUUUCAGUUUGUUUAGAAUUGAUCAUUGACUCUUUUUGAUACUCCUAUUUAUUUCAAUAAAUUAGUUUAGAAUGUAAAAAACACUUCUCACAAUCUAAAUUCCUCCUUAGUUCUAGUUUGACUAGGAACCGUUCACUAAUCAAACACUAGUUAACAAGAUGCCAACGAACGUCCUUGGGGCUUUUAGCAUCGAACAACUGUUAACUGCAUUAAGACUUAGAGAAACCUAAUUCUAACCUUGCCAACCGCGUGGUCAAGUUUAGAUUAUGCAACUGAUUGUACUUGUGUUUAGACAAUCUAUGCAAUUACGGACCUAAAUCAUUCAAACAAUUUAUUACUUAUGCAAUUAAAAGCAACAUGCCUUAAUUGAUUCUAAAAGCAAAGCAAUAAUAAUGGAAAGAUCAAGUUGCAUAAAUAUUGAAAGUAAAUAAGAGUUUAACAAUGGAGAUUUAAAUCUCCCAGUUCAUCACAAACUGAAUUUUUCCAACUUCAACUAGAAAAGAAAAGUGUUUAGCCACUCAUGGUGGAGAAAACCACAAAAGAAAAGAAGAAAGAAAAGAAGAAAAGCUGUUGUGUUUCUUGCAGAAUUUCCGAAGGUGGAGAGAGAUGAUUUUUUGCUGGUUUGGGGCUGCCUCCUUUUGUAGGUGAAGAAUCCUAAUCCACUUAGGAUUUGGAAUCCUAGUAUGGAUUGGUCUUUUUGUAGUCUUUAAUCUCCUCUUUGCUUUUGUAUUUACUUGUGAAUAAAUCUUCUUCUUGAGGGAGUCUAUCUUUGGGAGUGACUCUUGGAGAUGUCCUAGGAUUGAUCUUGAAGUGUUUGAAGUAGGAUAGGACUUUAAUGCUUUUGGAUUUUGAAUUCUUCCUUUUUCCCGCUCUGCUGUCCGCCUCUGCUGUCAUUUUGAUUUGGGCAGUGAUUUGCCCAAAUCGCUUGCCCC
RNAcentral lists this long non-coding RNA (8026 nucleotides) under Manihot esculenta (cassava). RNAcentral's name for it is "long non-coding RNA (MESC_LNC002313)". The stretch from base 5796 to 5902 matches the Rfam family "Plant small nucleolar RNA R71". Lineage: Eukaryota; Viridiplantae; Streptophyta; Magnoliopsida; Malpighiales; Euphorbiaceae. The record is from RNAcentral.